Molecule: ribosomal RNA, 468 nt
Filed under: uncultured bacterium
Lineage: Bacteria
Description: partial 16S ribosomal RNA
Rfam family: Bacterial small subunit ribosomal RNA
Source: RNAcentral
GACGAACGCUGGCGGCGUGCUUAACACAUGCAAGUCGAACGGAAAGGCCCUGCUUUUGCGGGGUGCUCGAGUGGCGAACGGGUGAGUAACACGUGUGUAACCUGCCCCUGACUUUGGGAUAACUUCAGGAAACUGGGGCUAAUACCGGAUAGGAGCUCCUGCUGCAUGGUGGGGGUUGGAAAGUUUCGGCGGUUGGGGAUGGACUCGCGGCUUAUCAGCUUGUUGGUGGGGUAGUGGCUUACCAAGGCUUUGACGGGUAGCCGGCCUGAGAGGGUGACCGGCCACAUUGGGACUGAGAUACGGCCCAGACUCCUACGGGAGGCAGCAGUGGGGAAGAUUGCACUAUGGGCGGAAGCCUGAUGCAGCAACGCCGCGUGCGGGAUGACGGCCUUCGGGUUGUAAACCGCUGUCGCCUGUGACGAAGCGUGAAUGACGGUAAUGGGUAAAGAAGCACCGGCUAACUACGUG